AUGAACGCUGGCGGCGUGCCUAAUACAUGCAAGUCGAGCGAACAGACGAGGAGCUUGCUCCUCUGACGUUCGCGGCGGACGGGUGAGUAACACGUGGAUAACCUACCUAUAAGACUGGGAUAACUUCGGGAAACCGGAGCUAAUAACGGAUAAUAUAUUGAACCGCAUGGUUCAAUAGUGAAAGACGGUUUUGCUGUCACUUAUAGAUGGAUCCGCGCCGCAUUAGCUAGUUGGUAAGGUAACGGCUUACCAAGGCGACGAUGCGUAGCCGACCUGCGAGGGUGAUCGGCCACUCUGGAACUGAAACACGGCCCAGACUCCUACGGGAGGCAGCGGUAGGGAAUCUUCCGCAAUGGGCGAAGGCCGGACGGAGCAACGCCGCGUGAGUGAUGAAGGUCUUCGGAUCGUAAAACUCUGUUAUUAGGGAAGAACAAAUGUGUAAGUAACUAUGCACGUCUUGACGGUACCUAAUCAGAAAGCCACGGCUAACUACGUG
Molecule: ribosomal RNA, 496 nt
Filed under: uncultured bacterium
Lineage: Bacteria
Description: partial 16S ribosomal RNA
Rfam family: Bacterial small subunit ribosomal RNA
Source: RNAcentral